This is a long non-coding RNA of Clupea harengus (Atlantic herring), 1539 nucleotides long. RefSeq lists it as uncharacterized. The record is from RefSeq and is a predicted model, not a curated record. NCBI's taxonomy places the organism in Eukaryota, Metazoa, Chordata, Actinopteri, Clupeiformes, Clupeidae.
CCUCAGGAGCAGGUGUAGUUUACACAGUGGCCCCGGCAGUUGGGGAUGGACGGAUCCGGCAGGUACAUCGGUCCGAGAUGCGGGGCGUCCCUGACGGAUUACGACCCACAGUAGAUCGUGAUACCGCAUCAACCAGUGGAGCCGGGCUACCCAGGGUAUCUCCGGCCUCAGAGGGAGACAAAACAACGUCAACCCAUGGAGCGGGACUGUCUAGGGUACCCCCAGCCUUAGAGGAAUGUGACACCGGGGAGGUGGUGGUCUGGUACCGUGGAGAGGAACCCCAAGCCAUGCCCGAAACGUCUGAUGCCGCUUCUGCGGUUGAACUGGAGAUGCCUGUGCCGCCUGACACCCCCCCUGCUGUUGAAAUGGAUGCUGGGUCUGGAGACACGACCCCCACCUUGCGACGCUCAGUAAGAUCUAAGCUAGGUCAGCAUUCUAAUCCCCAUCACCUCCCCCGAGCAGUGGGUGCCAGGAACAACGAACCAAUAAGUACAGAAGGAGAAGAGUCCAGGACCUGAGCUGUCAUCGUCGGGUCGCCGAUUCAUUUGGAGGGGGUGGAUUGUAGCCGGUGGGACCAAUGGGUGUAGCGAACUUUUAUUUUGAUUCACCUCUGUCACCUUUCUCCUGUGUGUACGUCACUAGUAGGGUCUUGGGCUGGGUUCCAAUUAGUUUAGUGCGAACAGGCAUAGAUAUAUACACCUUGGGUCCUUAUGCCGGUAGCCGUCCAUUGCUGAUUGUGGAGUGAAGCCGCGUUCUGGAGCGUUGUCUUCAGCGACACGGUAGCGUGUUAUAGAGCGGAUGCCAACAGGAACGAGUUGAGCGUCUUCCCUACCAACUGCACUCCAUAUCCCGUUUACAUGCAUCGCAACGUGUUAAGUAGCAGUCAGUGUAUCAGUGCGGUGGUUAUUGUGGUUGCUGGCAGCGUAUAGAUACCAGGUGCAUGACGUUCUCGGGUGCAGCUGUUUAGACAGCGAAGAAGCUAUUGAAGCACACAGCUAUACAGCAUUGUUAGCUGCUGUUCUCUUCCAGUUAGUUAUAGGUCCGGGUGCUGCUUUUAGAAUAUAUGCAUCUCUGUUUUCCCCUCUAGCCUGGGGGCCUAGGUGUGUAUAUGUGGUUAAGAGGAUAUUGUGAGCCACAGGUUAGAGGGUUUAUUUUUGUUUGUUUCAUUAAUUUGUUAUCUGUUUCCCCUGUGUCAUCUCCCCUGCCGCAAUAGCCUGGGUAUCGUUUGGGGCCCUAGCCUAGAUUACAGGUUGGCCAGGUUUUCCUCUAAGAUAGUUUCUCACCUUUGAUAAGAUGUGCAGUGUAAUGCAGUGAAGUGUGAACCCCUUUUUCUUAAUGUGCCCAAGUGGUGCGCUUGCGGUGGUGUGGCCAAUGAGCUAGUAGUGUGUGCUCUCCUUCACGUGUGGUAUUGGAGGCAGGCCCCUGUUAGUCUGUGUGGUCAGUGGCUCCGGAUUCUUACCCAACGGCUGGGGCAUUCCCCUGAAGUCCAUUUAAUGUAUUUAUGUAUUUAUUUAUUGACAACCAAAGUGACACCUUGUU